RNAcentral lists this ribosomal RNA (1400 nucleotides) under uncultured bacterium. Its description in RNAcentral is "partial 16S ribosomal RNA". It matches the Rfam family "Bacterial small subunit ribosomal RNA". The record is from RNAcentral.
GAAUUCGCCCUUAGAGUUUGAUCCUGGCUCAGGACGAACGCUGGCGGCGUGCUUAACACAUGCAAGUCGAACGAGAAUCUGCUGAAGGAGGAUUCGUCCAACGGAAGUAGAGGAAAGUGGCGGACGGGUGAGUAACGCGUGAGGAACCUGCCUUGAAGAGGGGGACAACAGUUGGAAACGACUGCUAAUACCGCAUAACGCAUAGAGGUCGCAUGAUCUUUAUGCCAAAGAUUUAUCGCUUCAAGAUGGCCUCGCGUCUGAUUAGCUGGUUGGCGGGGUAACAGCCCACCAAGGCGACGAUCAGUAGCCGGACUGAGAGGUUGAACGGCCACAUUGGGACUGAGAUACGGCCCAGACUCCUACGGGAGGCAGCAGUGGGGAAUAUUGGGCAAUGGGCGCAAGCCUGGCCCAGCAACGCCGCGUGAAGGAAGAAGGCUUUCGGGUUGUAAACUUCUUUUAAGAGGGAAGAGCAGAAGACGGUACCUCUAGAAUAAGCCACGGCUAACUACGUGCCAGCAGCCGCGGUAAUACGUAGGUGGCAAGCGUUGUCCGGAUUUACUGGGUGUAAAGGGCGUGCAGCCGGGUCUGCAAGUCAGAUGUGAAAUCCAUGGGCUCAACCCAUGAACUGCAUUUGAAACUGUAGAUCUUGAGUGUCGGAGGGGCAAUCGGAAUUCCUAGUGUAGCGGUGAAAUGCGUAGAUAUUAGGAGGAACACCAGUGGCGAAGGCGGAUUGCUGGACGAUAACUGACGGUGAGGCGCGAAAGUGUGGGGAGCAAACAGGAUUAGAUACCCUGGUAGUCCACGCCGUAAACGAUGCUCACUGGAUCUUGGCGAUACACGGCCAGGGUUCAAGCGAAAGUAUUAAGUGAGCCACCUGGGGAGUACGUCGGCAACGAUGAAACUCAAAGGAAUUGACGGGGGCCCGCACAAGCGGAGGAACAUGUGGUUUAAUUCGAUGAUACGCGAGGAACCUUACCCGGGUUUAAAUGCAGGUUGCAUGAGGUGGAAACACCUCUUUCCCUCGGGACUACCUGCAAGGUGCUGCAUGGUUGUCGUCAGCUCGUGCCGUGAGGUGUCGGGUUAAGUCCCAUAACGAGCGCAACCCCUAUCGCCAGUUGCCAUCGGUUCAAGCCGGGCACUCUGUCGAGACUGCCACCGUAAGGUGCGAGGAAGGCGGGGAUGACGUCAAAUCAGCACGGCCCUUACACCCGGGGCGACACACGUGUUACAAUGGCCGGUACAGAGGGCAGCCACGGGGCGACCCGGAGCGAAUCUCUAAAGCCGGUCGUAGUUCGGACUGGAGUCUGCAACCCGACUCCACGAAGUUGGAUUCGCUAGUAAUCGCGCAUCAGCCAUGGCGCGGUGAAUACGUUCCCGGGUCUUGCACACACCGCCCGUCA